UACGAAGGGGGCUAGCGUUGUUCGGAUUUACUGGGCGUAAAGCGCGUGUAGGCGGAUUUGUAAGUUGGGGGUGAAAUCCCGAGGCUCAACCUCGGAACUGCCUCCAAAACUACAAGUCUGGAGCGAGAUAGAGGCAAGUGGAAUUCCGAGUGUAGAGGUGAAAUUCGUAGAUAUUCGGAGGAACACCAGUGGCGAAGGCGACUUGCUGGAUCUCUGCUGACGCUGAGACGCGAAAGCGUGGGGAGCAAACAGG
Molecule: ribosomal RNA, 253 nt
Filed under: uncultured prokaryote
Description: partial 16S ribosomal RNA
Rfam family: Bacterial small subunit ribosomal RNA
Source: RNAcentral